This 509-nucleotide ribosomal RNA is filed under the name uncultured Acetobacter sp. Its description in RNAcentral is "bacterial SSU rRNA". It matches the Rfam family "Bacterial small subunit ribosomal RNA", at positions 380 to 906 of the family's 1533-position model. The record is from RNAcentral. Lineage: Bacteria; Pseudomonadati; Pseudomonadota; Alphaproteobacteria; Acetobacterales; Acetobacteraceae.
ACCCUGAUCCAGCAAUGCCGCGUGUGUGAAGAAGGUUUUCGGAUUGUAAAGCACUUUCGGCGGGGACGAUGAUGACGGUACCCGCAGAAGAAGCCCCGGCUAACUUCGUGCCAGCAGCCGCGGUAAUACGAAGGGGGCUAGCGUUGCUCGGAAUGACUGGGCGUAAAGGGCGUGUAGGCGGUUUGUACAGUCAGAUGUGAAAUCCCCGGGCUUAACCUGGGAGCUGCAUUUGAUACGUGCAGACUAGAGUGUGAGAGAGGGUUGUGGAAUUCCCAGUGUAGAGGUGAAAUUCGUAGAUAUUGGGAAGAACACCGGUGGCGAAGGCGGCAACCUGGCUCAUUACUGACGCUGAGGCGCGAAAGCGUGGGGAGCAAACAGGAUUAGAUACCCUGGUAGUCCACGCUGUAAACGAUGUGUGCUGGAUGUUGGGUAACUUAGUUACUCAGUGUCGUAGCUAACGCGAUAAGCACACCGCCUGGGGAGUACGGCCGCAAGGUUGAAACUCAAAG